AAUACACCGAUGCAGGGCAGGGACUAUCAAAGUAAAACAGGAAUAAACACGAAUAUCGAACCAGGGACAAUACACUGAAGACAAGGGAGGUACAGAGAACACCUAAACACUGGAAAUAAUUAACAAAUAACUAGGAAACUAACUGACACAAUGAAUAUUAAUAAACACAAACAACCAAGGAGACUGCGGACCAUGACAAUCGGUUUAUUUAAAACAAAAGUUUAAAAAAAUACAAAAUGUUGUUUUCUCUAGUAGAAGAAAUUAAACACUAUCAGAAUAUUCCUUAUAAAUAGAUAGCAUUGUUGUGGAUUAUAAGGAAUAAGCAUUAACAUAUCUACUGUUAAGCUGUAAAAACAAGUAGACAUCUAACAUGAAUAUUUUAUAUGAUUAUUUUCAAAGAUAUUAAAGUAUAUAGUCAGUCUCACCUUACAGAUUUUUGUGUCCUAAUCGAUCCGCUGCAUCGUCCAUUGGCAAGGUGGUCGGAGUGUGUUCGAAGAAUGUGAUACCAAAAUUAGCUGUAAACACGAUAUUCUUUGACACAUCCAUCUAUGCCACAAUCUUCACGGAAAUCUGGACUAUGGCUAUGUGCAGAAUUAAUAUGACUCAGUAGGGAUUUGAGGGUCAGACCCACAAAAACGAUGUAGAUAACACAGCGCCAAAUCAUUUUGUUUUACUGGUCUGUGAACUACUUUUCCCAUAAAGUCAAGAUAACCAGGAUUAUUCCAUUAUGGGGUAGGAAUGGCUAUCCUAAUUCAGUGCCUUAUAACAGCUGUAGUAUAAAAGAGCGAACUAAACCAUUUCCGUACACAACCCCAUACUCCUGAGUUGGUACAGCCCACCUUCCCGCCUCUAGCUCCGUGCCUAAGCGGUUGGAUUGCAGGAUUUUGGGGUCUGGGUGUAGAUGCGAUACAGUUAGUACAGUGUGAAGAAAUUAAGGCACGCUAUGGAAAAACUGGACGAAAUAACAAUUGCCAACCUGAAAGGUAUGUGACUGUUUUGUUUUUUCUAUGUUUUGUGUUCUGGUAUGUUGCAUGUUAAGUUGCUAGCAUGGCAGGCUAUACCCGGUUGUUAGCUUAGCUUAGCUGUGCGGUUAGCUUAGUUGCAUUAGCAUUUUUAAAUAUGCUAGUGCAGAAAGUUAUGAAAGAAUUCAUGUCCAGUUAUUAGUUUCAGUGUCUGUGAAUUUAUUCAACAAGUGUGCAAAGUGCCAUAAGUUAAUGCCAGUUUUACAGAAAUUGUGGGAGUUUCAAAUUUCUAUUAGUGAAGUUAUUUCAUUAUAUACUUUAGCCCAGGAAGCAAAAAAAAAAAAAACAUUUAUAUGUAUACAUG
Molecule: long non-coding RNA, 1326 nt
Organism: Astatotilapia calliptera (eastern happy)
Lineage: Eukaryota; Metazoa; Chordata; Actinopteri; Cichliformes; Cichlidae
Source: Ensembl